This 4591-nucleotide long non-coding RNA is filed under the name Octopus vulgaris (common octopus). Lineage: Eukaryota; Metazoa; Mollusca; Cephalopoda; Octopoda; Octopodidae. The record is from RNAcentral.
AGAGAAUUAAAUAGAAUAUAGAACAGAUGAGAGGGGGAGAGAGAGAGAGAGAGAGAGAGAGUGGAAGGGAGUCUGACACUGGUGAAGGGAGAAUAGAAAAGAAAGAGGACAAGUGAUUUAGAGAAGAAUGUGUGAGAGAGAGAAAGAGUAAGAGAAUAAUAAAGAGAGAACAUAGAUAGAUAGAAAUGUGAAAGAGAGAAAUAAAACAGAAAGAAAGAGUGGUGGGAUAAGUUACGAUAUUGGCCUCUAACGAGAGAAUGUCGGCUAAACAUCUAAAGGCUAGUGUUGGUGUUAGAUUUUAACUCCGCAGACUGGCACACGGGCUUUUGAGUAGAACAAACACACAUACACACAGCCAAUCACUCACUCACUCAUUCAUUGACACACACACGCUCAUACGUAUACUAUUUCUUUUUCUCUUUCUCUCUCUCUCCUGUACAGACACACAGACACAGAACCGGGUAACCUGUUUAAUGUUUUUGAUUUCUAUUAAGGAAGCUGGCAUUUAAUUCGCAGCUUUACUGAGAGGUCUUAAAAGAAAAACACACACAAAACAGAAAAAGACAGAAAGAAAGCGGAGAUAAAAGAGAAGAGAGAAGAAAUACACGGAAAAUUAUUCUGCUGUUUAUAACCUAACUGUACAUAACACCAACGGAUUUGAAUAAUAGGACAAUACUAGUUGGAUUUUGACAUUUUAUUUUUAAAAAAAAUUUUAACACACAUCGAAAAGAAAAUGAGAAAGACAGUGAGAUGAAAGGAAAUAUCCUUUGAUUUCGUUAUGUAGCUUGUUUUAUUCCAAAUAACCUACUGUAUAAAUCAGUUUAUUUAUCGUCUCUUCCUGGUACGAAUCAAGCACCUUUGGAUGAAGAAGGGAAGUGUGAGAUUGACAGACAAGAUAAAUAUAUAGAAGAGGUGAAAAGAGCACAGCAGUACACGGCGGCGGUGUUGCGUUAAUAAGUACGAAGCGUGUGUGUGUGUAUAUAUAUAUAUAUAUAUAUAUGUAAAGAGGCGAAAGGAAAGAGGUAACUUGAAAAUGAAAAAGUGACUAGGAAGAGAGAAAUCACUACAAAGGUGGUAACAAGUAUUACAGAAAAACGUUAAAAAAACCCGAAAAACAAAAGCAGGAUUCUUUAUCUACACACAUGGACGUAUAUAUAAAUAUAUAUAUAUACAUAAAAGGAAAAAAAAAAGAAGUGAAGUGUAGAGAGAGAAAGAUAGAGUGGGUGAGAGAAAGAGAGAGCUGGAGGUAAAAAAAAGAGAAAAAAACCCAAAAAUAGAUGUGUAGAAAGAUAAACUGAAAAAAAAUAGGCUAUCGAAUACAUAUAUAUAUAUAUAUAUAUAUAAAGAACUGAUGAAUGAAUGAUGUAUAUAUAGAGAGAGAUUGAGAAAUGCACACUCAGAAAUAUGUAUCUAUCAAUAUGAAUGGUGAGGAGUGAUAGUUAGAGAGAGAAAGAGUAAAAGGUAUUGAAAGGGGGGAAAAGUGGAAAAAAGAAGCAACAUACACGCGUGCUCAGUCUCUCUCUCUCUCAGUCACACGUACGCAGGCGCACACACACGCAGGAGCGCUACGAGGAAUUGAUAGAGAAGCUGCGGGAGGGCGAACGAACGAACAGGGGAAAAUACAGAAUCACCGAUAAAGAACAAACUCAAAAAAGACUCAGAUAUAUACCCACACACACACACUAUAUAUAUAUAUCUAUAUAUUUGCAGAGAAAGGACGUAAAGAAAAUAUAUAUGUGCAUAUAAUAUUUUUUGUUUGUGGUGGGGUGAAAGAUGGAUGAUGAAAAGUUGUGUUGUUGGCCGCCGCAUCAUCAUCCGUCGUCGUCGUUGUCCUCUCCUUUCUCUCUAUUGUUGCUGUUGCCGAAGGUGGCGGAGAUGAUGAAACUGAAUAAGAUGAUGAUAAUAAUGAUGAUGGUAGUGGUGGUGGUUGCCUCUCGUCGAGUGUGAAAAGACCAUGCUGCAAAGGAGGGUUGUACUCACAGUAUGUAACUCUGAUGUGAGGAGCUGCUGCUGCUAGUAAGACCGACGUGUCCAUUUUGUAAGCGAGCCGCUCAUUGGUCGAUUGCUGGCUACAUGCUCUUAAUUGGGCGCUAUUAGCUUCGAAUGUCUUUACGUAGUAUUUUCAUGGCGGAUUCAAAACGUGUGUCGGGAGUCUUUUGAUAUUAAUCUUUAAAAAAAAAAGGGGGAAAAAAAAAUAACAAACAGACAAAAGAAAAAACAAACAGGAAAGAAGACAAACAAAACAAAAAUUACGUAUCUUUUAAACUUUCUUUGACCAUGCCGCACGUUAGUUCGGGCGGCUCCGAGGACUUUUUCUCUAAAGACGAGGUCAAAGUUUAUAAAGAUGAAGGCGAAGAAGAGAAGCGAUCCUCGGAAAAUCUUUCCGAAGAUAAGUUGGGUUUAGUAACUGAGAGUGAAGAGGUAUGUUUUCGCCAAAAAAAAAAAAAAAUGUGCUGAUUAUUUAUCUUUCCUAUAUGUCUACAGCUAUCUAAUGUAUAUAUAUAUAUAUAUAUAUAUAUAUAUAUGUAUGUAUACAUAUAUAUGUGUGUGUGUAUGUAUAUAUAUAUAUAUAUAUAUAUGUAUAUAUAUAUAUAUACACACAUAUAUAUAUAUACACACAUGCUUCUAUAUAAUUAUAGUCUUGGUGCUAUACCCUUAUUAUAUAUAUAUAUAUAUAUAUAUAUAUAUAUAUAUAAAAGUGUGUGUGUUGUUUGUGUAUAUAUAUAAAUACACACACACACAUAUAUAUAUAUAUAUAAAUACACAUACAUAGCUGUGCGUAUUUGCUACACAUUAUUACAGUAAAAAAAAAUACGUGAUGUAUAUGGAGUUUACCUUUGCCUUUGAACGACGGUUUGCUUGCUCCGGAAGAAAUCAUAUUAUUUAUCGGUGUGUAUUUACCAUUUCAGGGGAAAAACUCCAGUUUACCAGGACAAAGUUACCCUGGAGGCGAGAAGUCUAAUACAUCAGGGCGCCCAGAAGACGGUAUGUUGUCAUAUUGAUGUCUGUGCGUGUGUGUUUAUAUAUAUAUAUAUAUAUAUGUAUAUGUAUGUAUGUAUGCACGCACUUGUAUUUAUCGUGUUGCAAAUCCAUUUAUUUAAUUAAAAAAAAAAAAGAGAGAAAUCUAAAACAAAAAUACCCUGUAAGCAUCGCAUUUCAUAUCGGAUGUAGCUUUAAUUUUAUUUACAAAAUUGGAAAUAGUAUGUUUUGUUAUGAUUGUCAGUUUUGGAAGAUCUUAUAUACUAUAAUGCAUACCCUAUAUGAAAUAUAUAUAUAAUGUGAUUCCUCUUUGGCCUACUCCUUCGAGCUGGAAUCACUCGAUUAUUGUUUAGUGGUCGGCCGCUUUUUAAUUUGUCGUGUUUAAUCAAUGAUCGAUAUGUUGUAACAUAACACAAACAUACGCACUCACACAUUUUAUACACUUGUAGGAUAUGCUUAUCUUACUAUCCAUCCUAUGGAUGAGUUAAGCCGUUCAUUUCUAGAGGAAUUCGCAUAGAACAGGAUAUUUUUAUUUAUUUUUAUAUUGUAAGCGUGGCAGCCAGCGAUCCCCACUUUUUUUUUUUUAGUAAAAAAGAUAUAUAUCUAUGUAUUAAAACCAGAAAAAAAAAGAAAAGCUGUGGUCACAAUAUUAAAAAAGAAAAUGGUCAAGUGAUCUCAUAUAUAUAACCCCUAUGUAUGUGUGUGUGUAAUUAUCUUUAUAUCAAUGUGUCUAUCUUUCUAUCUCUGCUGACAUCAAAGGAAUUGUGUCGAUUGUUUGCAUACCGUCACCAGUCUUGACAAAAUGACCUGAUUUUCACUAUUAUUAUUAUUAUUACUACAUAGUUACUAAUUUUUCAUGUUUUAUCUUGGCACAUAUAUAUACACAUUAACAGAUGCACACACGUACACACUAAUAUGGUAAUAUAUCUAUAUCUAUCUUUUACUAACUGCCUAUCUCUUCAUAUUUAUAUAUACAUAAUACGAUGAUCUAUAAUCGUAUCUGUAUGUACGUGUGUGUGUGUAUUUAUAUAUUAGUCGUAUAACAAGCACAACUUGCACUAUUGCCCGUUAUGCGCCUGUAGUAUGAAGUAGGAUUGUGUAGAAGUUAUUUUGAUCGAUAACUAUUGGCAAUUAAAUUUAAGGCGAUUGUUCGUUGUAGGUCAGAUGAAAGUGAAUGUGAGAGAUGUAGUAAAAAAACCCAGAAAAAUAUGUAUUUAUAUAUAUAUAUAGCUAGCUAUACAUAUAUUUAAAUCCCAAAUUCAUAUCUUCGUAUCUGUAUACAAUUUGCGAAUAUGUAGAGAGAUGUAUUGCUUUUCGGUUUUAGCUGGUCACAAACUGGGGGGUCUCGUUUUCAUGUUUUUAUCUACUUAAUUUUCCACAGUUUUUUUUUGUUUUCGCUGAUUUAACCGUGACAGAUCCUUUAUUCAUUUAUAAGCAGGUUAGAGAUUUUUUUAUAUGCGUGUGGUGUGUGUGUACACACAGGCCCUACUUGACGUUUAUAAAGCUUUUGUGUGUGUGUGUGUGUGUGUGUGUGUGUAUGUAUUUUCUUUCUAUAUUUAUCUUCGGUUAAUGCAAUUUUUCUAACCGGGUCUAUUAGACCAUAUGAUGUGUG